GAUGAAGAACGUAGCGAAAUGCGAUAAGUAAUGUGAAUUGCAGAAUUCAGUGAAUCAUCGAAUCUUUGAACGCACAUUGCGCCCGCCAGUAUUCUGGCGGGCAUGCCUGUUCGAGCGUCAUUACAACCCUCAGGCCCCCGGGCCUGGCGUUGGGGAUCGGCGGAGCCCCCCGUGGGCACACGCCGUCCCCCAAAUACAGUGGCGGUCCCGCCGCAGCUUCCAUCGCGUAGUAGCUAACACCUCGCGACUGGAGAGCGGCGCGGCCACGCCGUAAAACACCCAACUCUUCUGAAGUUGACCUCGAAUCAGGUAGGAAUACCCGCUGAACUUAAGCAUAUCAAUAAGCGUAGGA
RNAcentral lists this unclassified non-coding RNA (352 nucleotides) under soil metagenome. Its description in RNAcentral is "partial contains 5.8S ribosomal RNA, internal transcribed spacer 2, and large subunit ribosomal RNA". The stretch from base 1 to 120 matches the Rfam family "5.8S ribosomal RNA", at positions 35 to 154 of the family's 154-position model. The record is from RNAcentral.